GAUGAACGCUAGCGGCAGGCCUAAUACAUGCAAGUCGGACGGGAUUCAGGAGCUUGCUUCUGAUGAGAGUGGCGCACGGGUGCGUAACACGUAUGUAACCUACCUUUAUCAGGGGGAUAGCCUCUCGAAAGAGAGAUUAAGCCCGCAUAAAAUCACAGCACAGCAUUGUGUAAUGAUCAAAUAUUUAUAGGAUAAAGAUGGGCAUGCGGAACAUUAGCUAGAUGGCGGGGUAACGGCCCACCAUGGCGACGAUGUUUAGGGGAUCUGAGAGGAUGGCCCCCCACACUGGUACUGAGGCACGGACCAGACUCCUACGGGAGGCAGCAGUAAGGAAUAUUGGUCAAUGGGCGGUAGCCUGACCCAGCCAUGCCGGGUGCAGGAAGCCGGCGAUACGGGUUGUAAACUGCUUUUAUACGGGAAUAAACCCAGAUACGUGUAUCUGGCUGACUGUACUGUAAGAAUAAGGAUCGGCUAACUCCGUG
RNAcentral lists this ribosomal RNA (482 nucleotides) under uncultured bacterium. RNAcentral describes it as "partial 16S ribosomal RNA". It matches the Rfam family "Bacterial small subunit ribosomal RNA", at positions 28 to 507 of the family's 1533-position model. The record is from RNAcentral.